Molecule: non-coding RNA, 15358 nt
Organism: Macaca mulatta (Rhesus monkey)
Lineage: Eukaryota; Metazoa; Chordata; Mammalia; Primates; Cercopithecidae
Source: RefSeq, a predicted model, not a curated record
GGAGGAGGGCAGGCGUUUCACCCGCGCCACAGCUGCAGCGGGCCAGAGAGACCGCAGAGACCGGGACCCCACGCAGCCGCCGCGCCCGCUGCUGCGACUGCCGGGGUGGCGCGCCCAGCCGGAGAAUCCCGUCCGCGCCCGGGGCGGGGGGCGAGGCGGGGCGCUGACGUCACCUCCCCUCCCCCACCGCCUCCAAGAGGGAGGGAGCGGGGAAAGAGGCAGCGAGUCGCCGCAGCCGCCGGCCGCAACUCCUCAACUCGGCGGCUGGCUGCCCGGGCACGUCCUGACAAACUUGGUUGCUCCCGGGCCCUCGCUCCGGCCCCGCGCACUCUCUUUUCGCCUCCGUUUGGUGCUUAAGUUUGCCCUGGUCGGAAGCCUCCGGAGAUGCGGCCGCCUGGGUCCCGGCGGCACGGACGAUGGCAGUCUGGUUAGGGACAUGUUGAAGAUCCCGGGGAGGCAAACUUGGUACUUCAAACCCGGCUCCUAACACAUAUCCACAUCGCGUGGGGAUCACGGAGCUGCCGGGGACUUUAGAGCCCAGGGCCCAGGACUCGGCUAGACUGAUUCCUGAGAGUUAAGCAAUGGGGAGACAUUCGGCCUUGCUUCUGCUCCUCCUCCUCAUCCUCCAACAUUUUGGAGACAGUGAUGGCAGCCAAAGACUUGAACAGACUCCUCUACAGUUUACACAUCUCCAGUACAAUGUCACGGUGCAUGAGAACUCUGCAGCUAAGACUUACGUGGGGCAUCCUGUCAAGAUGGGUAUUUACAUGACACAUCCAUCGUGGGAAGUAAGGUACAAAAUUGUCUCCGGAGACAGUGAAAACCUGUUCAAAGCUGAAGAGUACGUUCUCGGAGACUUUUGCUUUCUAAGAAUAAGGACCAAAGGAGGAAAUACAGCUAUUCUUAAUAGAGAAGUGAAAGACCACUACACAUUGAUAGUGAAAGCAGUUGAAAAAAAUACUAAUAUGGAGGCGCGAACAAAGGUCAGGGUGCAGGUGCUGGAUACAAAUGACUUGAGACCGUUAUUCUCACCCACCUCAUACAGCGUUUCUUUACCUGAAAACACAGCCAUAAGGACCAGUAUUGCAAGAGUCAGCGCCACAGACGCAGACAUAGGAACCAAUGGGGAAUUUUACUACAGCUUUAAAGAUCGAACAGAUAUGUUUGCUAUUCACCCAACCAGUGGUGUGAUAGUGUUAACUGGUAGACUUGAUUACCUAGAGACCAAGCUGUAUGAGAUGGAAAUCCUCGCUGUGGACCGUGGAAUGAAAUUGUAUGGGAGCAGUGGCAUCAGCAGCAUGGCCAGGCUGACGGUGCACAUCGAACAGGCCAACGAAUGUGCUCCCGUGAUAACAGCAGUGACGUUGUCACCGUCAGAGCUGGACAGGGACCCAACAUACGCCAUCGUGACAGUGGAUGACUGUGAUCAGGGGGCCAAUGGUGAAAUAGCGUCUUUAAGCAUCGUGGCAGGCGACCUUCUCCAGCAGUUCAGAACCGUGAGGUCCUUUCCAGGGAGUAAGGAAUAUAAAGUCAAAGCCAUCAGUGGCGUUGAUUGGGACAGUCAUCCUUUCGGCUACAAUCUCACACUACAGGCUAAAGAUAAAGGAACUCCGCCCCAGUUCUCUUCUGUUAAAGUAAUUCACGUGACUUCUCCACAGUUCAAAGCCGGGCCAGUCAAGUUUGAAAAGGAUGUUUACAGAGCAGAAAUAAGUGAAUUUGCUCCUCCUAACACUCCUGUGGUCAUGGUAAAGGCCAUUCCUGGUUAUUCCCAUUUGAGGUAUGUUUUUAAAAGUACACCCGGAAAAGCUAAAUUCAGUUUAAAUUACAACACUGGCCUCAUUUCUAUUUUAGAACCGGUUAAAAAACAGCAGGCAGCCCAUUUUGAACUCGAAGUAACAACAAGUGACAGAAAAGCCUCCACCAAGGUCUUGGUGAAAGUCUUAGGUGCAAAUAGCAAUCCCCCUGAAUUUACCCAGACAGCAUACAAAGCCGCUUUUGAUGAGAAUGUGCCCAUCGGUACUACUGUCAUGAGCCUGAGUGCCGUAGACCCUGACGAGGGUGAGAAUGGAUACGUGACAUACAGUAUCACAAAUUUAAAUCAUGUGCCGUUUGUGAUUGACCAUUUCACUGGUGCUGUGAGUACGUCAGAAAACCUGGACUACGAACUGAUGCCUCGGGUUUAUACUCUGAGGAUUCGUGCAUCAGACUGGGGGUUGCCGUACCGCCGGGAGGCCGAAGUCCUUGCUACAAUCACUCUCAAUAACUUGAAUGACAACACACCUUUGUUUGAGAAAAUAAAUUGUGAAGGGACAAUUCCCCGAGAUCUAGGCGUGGGAGAGCAAAUAACUACUGUUUCUGCUAUUGAUGCAGAUGAACUUCAGCUGGUACAGUAUCAGAUUGAAGCUGGAAAUGAACUGGAUUUGUUUAGUUUAAACCCCCACUCUGGGGUAUUGUCAUUGAAGCAAUCGCUAAUGGAUGGCUUAGGUGCAAAGGUGUCUUUUCACAGUCUGAGAAUCACAGCUACAGAUGGAGAAAAUUUUGCCACGCCGUUAUAUAUCAACAUCACAGUGGCUGCCAGUCGCAAGCUGGUAAACUUGCACUGUGAAGAGACUGGUGUUGCCAAAAUGCUGGCAGAGAAACUCCUGCAGGCAAAUAAAUUACACAACCAGGGAGACGUGGAGGAUAUUUUCUUUGAUUCUCACUCUGUCAACGCUCACAUACCACAGUUUAGAAGCACUCUUCCGACUGGUAUUCAAGUAAAGGAAAACCAGCCUGUGGGUUCCAGUGUAAUUUUCAUGAAUUCCACUGACCUUGACACUGGCUUCAAUGGAAAACUGGUCUAUGCUAUUUCUGGAGGAAAUGAGGAUAGUUGCUUCAUGAUUGACAUGGAAACAGGAAUGCUGAAAAUUUUAUCUCCUCUUGACCGUGAAACAACGGACAAGUACACCCUGAAUAUUACCGUCUAUGACCUUGGGAUACCCCAGAAGGCUGCGUGGCGUCUUCUAGACGUUGUGGUUGUCGAUGCCAAUGAUAAUCCACCUGAGUUUUUACAGGAGAGCUAUUUUGUGGAAGUGAGUGAAGACAAGGAGGUACAUAGUGAAAUCAUCCAGGUUGAAGCCACAGAUAAAGACCUAGGGCCCAAUGGACACGUGACGUACUCAAUUCUUACAGACACAGAUAAGUUUUCAGUUGACAGCGCGACUGGUGUUGUUAAAAUCAUGCACCCUCUGGAUCGAGAACUGCAGCAUGAGCACUACUUAAAGAUUGAAGCCAGGGACCAAGCCAGAGAAGAGCCCCAGCUGUUCUCCACGGUCGUUUUGAAAGUAUCACUAGAAGAUGUUAAUGACAACCCCCCUAAAUUUAUUCCCCCUAAUUAUCGUGUGAAAGUCCGAGAGGAUCUUCCAGAAGGAACCGUCAUCAUGUGGUUAGAAGCCCACGAUCCUGAUUUAGCUCAGUCUGGUCAAGUGAGAUACAGCCUUAUGGACCACGGAGAAGGAAACUUUGAUGUGGAUAAACUCAGUGGAGCAGUUAGAAUCGUCCAGCAGUUGGAUUUUGAGAAGAAGCAAGUGUAUAAUCUCACUGUGAGGGCCAAAGACAAGGGGAAGCCCGUUUCUCUGUCUUCUACUUGCUAUGUUGAAGUUGAGGUGGUUGAUGUGAAUGAGAACUUGCACCCACCGGUGUUUUCCAGCUUUGUGGAAAGGGGGGUGGUGAAGGAAGACACGCCUGUUGGUUCGUUGGUAAUGACAGUGUCGGCUCAUGAUGAGGACGCCGGAAGAGAUGGGGAGAUCCGAUACUCCAUUAGAGAUGGUUCUGGCGUUGGCGUUUUCAAAAUAGGUGAAGAGACAGGUAUCAUAGAGACGUCAGAUCGACUGGACCGUGAAUCGACCUCCCAUUAUUGGCUGACAGUCUUUGCAACCGAUCAGGGUGUCGUGCCUCUUUCAUCGUUCAUAGAGAUCUACAUAGAGGUUGAGGAUGUCAAUGACAAUGCCCCACAGACAUCAGAGCCUGUUUAUUACCCAGAAAUCUUGGAAAAUUCUCCUAAAGAUGUGUCUGUGGUCCAGAUCGAGGCAUUCGAUCCAGAUUUGAGCUCUAAUGACAAGCUCGUGUACAGAAUUACAAGUGGAAAUCCGCAGGGGUUCUUCGCAGUACAUCCUAAAACAGGUCUCAUCACAACUACAUCAAGGAAGCUAGACCGAGAACAGCAAGAUGAACACAUAUUAGAGGUUACUGUGACAGACAAUGGUAGUCCCCCCAAAUCAACCAUUGCAAGAGUCAUUGUGAAAAUCCUUGAUGAAAAUGACAACAAACCUCAGUUUCUGCAAAAGUUCUACAAAAUCAGACUCCCUGAGCGGGAAAAGCCAGACCGAGAAAGAAAUGCCAGACGGGAGCCCCUGUAUCGCGUUAUAGCCACCGACAAAGAUGAAGGCCCCAAUGCAGAAAUCUCCUACAGCAUCGAAGAAGGGAAUGAGCACGGCAAAUUCUUCAUUGAACCGAAAACUGGGGUGGUUUCGUCCAAGAAGUUUUCAGCAGCUGGAGAAUAUGAUAUUCUUUCCAUUAAGGCAGUUGACAAUGGUCGCCCUCAAAAGUCAUCGACCACCAGACUCCACAUUGAAUGGAUCUCCAAACCCAAACCGUCCCCGGAGCCCAUUUCAUUUGAAGAAUCAUUUUUUACCUUUACUGUGAUGGAAAGUGACCCCGUUGCUCACAUGAUUGGAGUAAUAUCUGUUGAGCCUCCUGGCAUACCUCUUUGGUUUGACAUCACGGGAGACACGCUUGCUAGAGAAGUUUUUUACAUCUUUCAGAUGACUUGUGACCCGAACUGUACAGCAGAAGGUGGCAACUACGACAGUCACUUCGAUGUGGACAAGGGAACUGGAACCAUCAUUGUUGCCAAACCUCUCGAUGCAGAACAGAAGUCAAACUACAACCUCACAGUCGAGGCCACAGAUGGAACCACCACUAUCCUCACUCAGGUAUUCAUCAAAGUAAUAGACACAAAUGACCAUCGUCCUCAGUUUUCUACAUCGAAGUAUGAAGUUGUUAUUCCUGAAGAUACGGUGCCAGAGACAGAAAUUUUGCACAUCAGUGCUGUGGAUCAGGAUGAGAAAAACAGACUAAUCUACACUCUGCAGGGCAGUAGAGAUCCACUGAGUCUCAAGAAAUUCCGUCUUGAUCCUGCAACCGGCUCUCUCUAUACUUCUGAGAAGCUCGAUCAUGAAGCCGUUCACCAGCACACCCUCACGGUCAUGGUACGAGAUCAAGAUGUGCCUGUAAAACGCAACUUUGCAAGGAUUGUGGUCAACGUCAGCGACACGAAUGACCAUGCCCCGUGGUUCACCGCUUCCUCCUACAAAGGGCGGGUGUAUGAAUCGGCGGCCGUCGGCUCGGUUGUGUUGCAGGUGACGGCGCUGGACAAGGACAAAGGGAAAAAUGCCGAAGUGCUGUACUCGAUUGAGUCAGGAAACAUUGGAAAUUCUUUUAUGAUUGAUCCUGUCUUGGGCUCUAUUAAAACUGCCAAAGAAUUAGAUCGAAGUAACCAAGUGGAGUAUGAUUUAAUAGUAAAAGCUACAGAUAAGGGCAGUCCACCCAUGAGUGAAGUAACUUCUGUGCAUAUCUUCGUCACAGUUGCUGACAACGCCCCUCCGAAGUUUACAUCCAAAGACUAUUCUGUUGAAAUCAGUGAAACUGUCAGCAUUGGGAGUUUUGUUGGGAUGGUUACAGCCCAUAGUCAGUCAUCAGUGGUGUAUGAAAUAAAAGAUGGAAAUACAGGUGAUGCUUUUGAUAUUAAUCCACAUUCUGGAAGUAUCAUCACUCAGAAAGCCCUGGACUUUGAGACUUUGCCCGUGUACACAUUGAUAAUACAAGGAACGAACAUGGCUGGUUUGUCCACUAAUACAACAGUUUCAGUUCAGCUGCAGGAUGAGAAUGACAACUCGCCAGUUUUUAUGCAGGCAGAAUAUACAGGACUCAUUAGUGAGUCAGCCUCAAUUAACAGCGUGGUCCUCACAGACAGGAAUGUCCCUCUGGUGAUUCGAGCAGCUGAUGCUGAUAAAGACUCCAAUGCUUUGCUUGUUUACCACAUUGUUGAACCAUCUGUACACAAAUAUUUUGCUAUUGAUUCUAGCACUGGUGCUAUUCAUACAGUCCUCAGUCUGGACUAUGAAGAAACAAGCACUUUUCACUUCACCGUACAAGUGCAUGACAUGGGAACCCCACGUUUAUUUGCUGAGUAUGCAGCUAAUGUAACAAUACAUGUAAUUGACAUUAAUGACUGCCCUCCCGUGUUCGCCAAGCCAUUAUAUGAAGCAUGUCUUUUGUUGCCAACAUACAAAGGAGUAAAAGUCAUCACAGUAAAUGCUACAGAUGCCGAUUCAAGCGCAUUCUCACAGUUGAUUUACUCCAUCACCGAAGGCAACAUCGGGGAGAAGUUUUCCAUGGACUACAAGACUGGUGCUCUAACUGUCCAAAACACAACUCAGUUAAGAAGCCGCUACGAGCUAACCGUUAGAGCUUCCGAUGGCAGGUUUGCUGGCCUUACCUCUGUCAAAAUUAAUGUGAAAGAAAGCAAAGAAAGUCACCUGAAGUUUACCCAGGAUGUCUACUCUGCAGUAGUGAAAGAGAAUUCCACGGAGGCCAAAACGUUAGCUGUCAUUACUGCUAUUGGGAAUCCAAUCAAUGAGCCUUUGUUUUAUCACAUCCUCAACCCAGAUCGCAGAUUUAAAAUAAGCCGCACUUCAGGAGUACUGUCCACCACCGGUAUACCCUUCGAUCGUGAACAGCAGGAGGCGUUUGAUGUGGUUGUGGAAGUGACGGAAGAACAUAAGCCUUCCGCGGUGGCCCACGUUGUCGUGAAGGUCAUCGUAGAAGACCAAAAUGAUAACGCACCAGUGUUUGUCAACCUCCCCUACUACGCCGUUGUUAAAGUGGACACCGAGGUGGGCCGUGUCAUUCGCCACGUCACCGCUGUAGACAGAGACAGUGGCAGAAACGGGGAAGUGCAUUACUACCUUAAGGAACAUCAUGAAUACUUUCAAAUUGGACCCUUGGGUGAAAUUUCACUGAAAAAGCAAUUCGAACUUGACACCUUAAAUAAAGAAUAUCUUGUUACAGUGGUCGCCAAAGAUGGAGGGAACCCGGCCUUUUCAGCGGAAGUUAUGGUUCCGAUCACUGUCAUGAAUAAAGCCAUGCCCGUGUUUGAAAAACCUUUCUACAGUGCAGAGAUUGCAGAGAAUGUCCAGGUGCACAGCCCCGUGGUCCACGUACAGGCCAACAGCCCGGAAGGCUUGAAAGUGUUCUACAGCAUCACAGACGGAGACCCUUUCAGCCAGUUCACUAUUAACUUCAAUACCGGAGUUAUCAACGUCAUAGCUCCUCUGGACUUUGAGGCCCACCCGGCGUAUAAACUGAGCAUACGCGCAACUGACUCCUUGACGGGCGCUCAUGCUGAAGUAUUUGUGGACAUCAUAGUGGAGGACAUCAAUGAUAAUGCUCCUGUGUUUGCUCAGCAGUCUUACGCAGCAACCCUGUCUGAGGCAUCUGUAAUCGGAACAUCUGUUGUUCAAGUCAGAGCCACAGAUUCUGAUUCAGAACCCAAUAGAGGAAUCUCAUACCAGCUGUUUGGGAAUCUCAGCAAGAGUCAUGAUCAUUUUCAUGUGGACAGCAGCACCGGCCUCAUUUCACUGCUCAGAACUCUGGAUUACGAGCAGUCCCAGCGGCACACGAUUUUUGUGAGGGCUGUCGACGGUGGUAUGCCGCCGCUGAGCAGUGACGUGAUUGUCACGGUGGACGUUACCGACCUCAAUGAUAACCCACCACUCUUUGAACAACAGAUUUACGAAGCCAGAAUUAGCGAGCAUGCCCCUCAUGGGCAUUUUGUGACCUGUGUAAAAGCCUAUGAUGCAGACAGUUCGGACAUCGACAAGUUGCAGUAUUCCAUUCUGUCCGGCAAUGAUCAUAAACAUUUUAUCAUUGACAGUGCAACAGGAAUUAUCACCCUCUCAAACCUACGCCGGCACACCUUGAAGCCGUUUUACAGUCUUAACCUGUCAGUUUCCGAUGGCGUUUUUAGAAGUUCCACCCAGGUUCAUGUGACUGUCAUCGGAGGCAAUUUGCACAGCCCUGCUUUUCUUCAGAAUGAAUAUGAAGUGGAACUAGCUGAAAACGCUCCCCUACAUACCCUGGUGAUGGAGGUGAAAACGACGGAUGGGGAUUCUGGUAUUUAUGGUGACGUCACUUACCAUAUUGUAAAUGACUUUGCCAAAGACAGAUUUUACAUAAAUGAGAGAGGACAGAUAUUUACUUUGGAAAAACUUGAUCGAGAAACCCCAGCGGAGAAAGUGAUCUCAGUCCGUUUAAUGGCUAAGGACGCUGGAGGCAAAGUUGCCUUCUGCACUGUGAAUGUCAUCCUCACAGAUGACAAUGACAAUGCACCACAAUUUCGGGCGACCAAAUACGAAGUGAAUAUCGGAUCCAGUGCUGCUAAAGGGACUUCAGUCAUUAAAGUUCUCGCAAGUGACGCCGAUGAGGGCUCCAAUGCCGAUGUCACCUAUGCCAUUGAAGCAGACUCUGACAGUGUAAAAGAGAAUUUGGAAAUUAACAAACUGUCCGGCGUAAUCACUACAAAGGAGAGCCUCAUUGGCUUGGAAAAUGAGUUCUUCACUUUCUUUGUUAGAGCUGUGGAUAAUGGGUCUCCAUCAAAAGAAUCUGUUGUUCCCGUCUAUGUCAAAAUCCUUCCACCAGAAACACAGCUUCCAAAAUUUUCAGAACCUUUCUAUACCUAUACAGUGUCUGAGGACGUGCCUAUUGGAACAGAAAUAGAUCUCAUCCGAGCAGAACAUAGUGGGACUGUUCUUUACAGCCUGGUCAAAGGGAAUACCCCAGAAAGCAAUAGGGAUGAGUCCUUUGUGAUUGACAGACAGAGCGGGAGGCUGAAGCUGGAGAAGAGUCUUGAUCAUGAGAUAACUAAGUGGUAUCAGUUUUCCGUACUGGCCAGGUGCACUCAAGAUGACCGUGAGAUGGUGGCUUCUGUAGAUGUGAGUAUCCAAGUGAAAGAUGCAAAUGACAACAGCCCCGUCUUUGAAUCUAGUCCAUAUGAGGCAUUCAUUGUUGAAAACCUGCCAGGGGGAAGUAGAGUAAUUCAGAUCAGGGCAUCUGAUGCUGACUCAGGAACCAACAGCCAAGUUAUGUAUAGCCUGGAUCAGUCACAAAGUGUGGAAGUCAUUGAAUCCUUUGCCAUUAACAUGGAAACAGGCUGGAUUACAACCUUAAAGGAACUUGACCAUGAAGAGAGAGACAAUUACCAGAUUAAAGUGGUUGCUUCAGAUCAUGGUGAAAAGAUCCAGCUGUCCUCCACAGCCAUUGUGGAUGUUACCGUCACCGAUGUCAACGAUAGUCCACCACGAUUCACGGCCGAGAUCUAUAAAGGGACUGUGAGUGAGGAUGACCCCCCCGGCGGUGUGAUUGCCAUCUUAAGUACCACAGAUGCCGAUUCUGAAGAGAUCAACAGACAAGUUACAUAUUUCAUAACAGGAGGGGAUCCUUUGGGACAGUUUGCUGUUGAAAAUAUACAGAAUGAAUGGAAGGUAUAUGUGAAGAAACCUCUAGACAGGGAAAAAAGGGACAAUUACCUUCUUACUAUCACAGCAACUGAUGGCACCUUCUCGUCAAAAGCUAUAGUUGAAGUGAAAGUUCUUGAUGCAAAUGACAACAGUCCAGUUUGUGAAAAGACUUUAUAUUCAGACACUAUUCCUGAAGACGUCCUUCCUGGAAAGUUGAUCAUGCAGAUCUCUGCCGCAGACGCAGACAUCCGCUCUAACGCUGAAAUUACUUACACAUUAUCGGGUUCAGGUGCAGAAAAAUUCCAGCUAAAUCCAGACACAGGUGAACUGAAAACGUCAGCCCCCCUUGAUCGUGAGGAGCAAGCUGUUUAUCAUCUUCUCGUCAGGGCCACAGAUAGAGGAGGGAGAUUCUGCCAAGCCAGUAUUGUGCUCACGCUGGAAGACGUGAACGAUAACGCCCCUGAGUUCUCUGCCGAUCCUUAUGCCAUCACCGUGUUUGAAAACACAGAGCCCGGAACGCUGCUGACGAGAGUGCAGGCCACAGAUGCCGACUCAGGAUUAAAUCGGAAGAUUUUAUACUCACUGAUUGACUCUGCUGAUGGGCAGUUCUCCAUUAACGAAUUAUCUGGAAUUAUUCAGUUAGAAAAACCUUUGGACAGAGAACUCCAGGCAGUAUACACCCUCUCUUUGAAAGCUGUGGAUCAAGGCUUGCCAAGGAGGCUGACCGCCACUGGUACUGUGGUUGUAUCAGUUCUUGACAUAAAUGACAACCCCCCUGUGUUUGAGUACCGUGAAUAUGGAGCCACCGUGUCCGAGGACAUUCUUGUCGGAACUGAAGUUCUUCAAGUGUAUGCAGCAAGUCGGGAUAUUGAAGCAAAUGCCGAAAUCACCUACUCAAUAAUAAGUGGAAACGAACAUGGGAAAUUCAGCAUAGAUUCUAAAACAGGGGCCGUAUUUAUCAUCGAGAAUCUGGAUUAUGAAAGCUCUCAUGAAUAUUACCUAACCAUAGAGGCCACUGAUGGAGGCACGCCUUCUCUGAGUGACGUUGCCACUGUGAACGUUAACGUAACGGAUGUCAACGACAACGCGCCAGUGUUCAGCCAAGACACCUACACAGCAGUGGUCAGUGAAGAUGCCGUUCUUGAGCAGUCUGUCAUCACGGUUCUGGCCGACGAUGCCGACGGACCCUCAAACAGCCACAUCCACUACUCAAUUAUAGAUGGCAACCAGGGAGGCCCAUUCACCAUUGACCCUGUCCGGGGAGAAGUCAAAGUGACCAAACUUCUCGACCGAGAAACAAUUUCAGGUUACACACUCACGGUUCAGGCUUCUGAUAACGGCAGUCCACCUAGAGUCAACACGACGGCUGUGAACAUCGACGUGUCUGAUGUCAAUGACAACGCGCCCGUCUUCUCCAGGGGAAACUACAGCGUCAUCAUCCAGGAAAACAAGCCAGUGGGCUUCAGCGUCCUGCGGCUGGUGGUGACAGAUGAGGAUUCUUCCCAUAACGGUCCACCCUUCGUCUUUACCAUUGUGACUGGAAAUGAUGAGAAGGCGUUUGAAGUUAACCAGCAAGGGGUCCUCCUGACUGCAUCUGCCAUCAAGAGGAAGGAGAAAGAUCAUUUCUUACUGCAGGUUAAGGUGGCAGAUAAUGGAAAACCUCAGUUGUCAUCUCUGACAUACAUUGACAUUAGGGUCAUUGAGGAGAGCAUCUAUCCCCCUGCGAUUUUGCCCCUGGAGAUUUUCAUCACCGCUUCUGGAGAAGAAUACUCAGGUGGCGUCAUUGGGAAGAUCCACGCCACAGACCAGGACGUGUAUGAUACUCUAACCUACAGUCUUGAUCCUCAGAUGGACAACCUGUUCUCUGUUUCCAGCACAGGGGGCAAGCUGAUAGCACACAAAAAGCUGGACAUAGGGCAGUACCUUCUCAAUGUCAGCGUGACAGAUGGGAAGUUCACGACGGUGGCUGACAUCACAGUGCAUAUCAGACAAGUCACACAGGAGAUGUUGAACCACACCAUCGCUAUCCGCUUUGCCAAUCUCACUCCGGAAGAAUUUGUGGGUGACUACUGGCGCAACUUCCAGCGAGCUUUACGGAACAUCCUGGGUGUGAGGAGGAGUGACAUACACAUUGUUAGUUUGCAGCCCUCUGAACCUCACCCACAUCUGGAUGUCUUACUUUUUGUAGAGAAAUCAGGUGGUGCUCAGAUUUCAACAAAACAACUUCUGCACAAGAUUAAUUCUUCCGUGACUGAUAUUGAGGACAUCAUUGGAGUUCGGAUCCUGGAUGUAUUCCAGAAACUCUGCGCAGGACUGGACUGCCCCUGGAAGUUCUGCGAUGAAAAGGUGUCUGUGGAUGAAAGUGUGAUGUCAACACACAGCACAGCCAGACUGAGCUUUGUGACUCCCCGCCACCACAGGGCAGCGGUGUGUCUCUGCAAAGAGGGAAGAUGCCCAGCUGUCCACCAUGGCUGUGAAGACCAUCCAUGCCCUGAGGGAUCCGAGUGUGUGUCUGAUCCCCGGGAGGAGAAACACACCUGUGUCUGUCCCGGCGGCAGGUUUGCUCAGUGCCCAGGGAGUUCAUCUAUGACACUGACUGGAAAUAGCUAUGUGAAAUACCGUCUGACGGAGAAUGAAAACAAAUUAGAGAUGAAACUGACCAUGAGGCUCAGAACGUAUUCCAUGCAUGCGGUUGUCAUGUACGCGCGAGGAACCGACUAUAGCAUCUUGGAGAUUCAUAAUGGAAGGCUGCAGUACAAGUUCGACUGUGGCAGUGGCCCUGGCAUCGUCUCUGUUCAGAGCAUUCAGGUCAAUGAUGGGCAGUGGCACGCAGUGUCCUUGGAAGUGAAUGGGAACUAUGCUCGCUUGGUUCUAGACCAAGUUCACACUGCAUCGGGCACAGCCCCAGGGACUCUGAAAACCUUGAACCUGGAUAACUACGUGUUUUUUGGUGGCCACAUCCGUCAGCAGGGAACACGGCAUGGAAGAAGUCCUCAAGUUGCUAAUGGUUUCAGAGGUUGUAUGGAUUCCAUUUAUUUGAAUGGGCAGGAGCUGCCCUUCAACAGCAAACCCAGAAGCUAUGCCCACAUGGAGGAGUCGGUGGGUGUGUCUCCAGGGUGCUUCCUGACGGCUACGGAAGACUGCGCCAGCGGCCCUUGCCAGAACGGAGGCAUUUGCAGUCCGUCACCUGCUGGAGGUUAUUACUGCAAAUGCAGCGCCUUAUACAUAGGGACGUACUGCGAGAUAAGCGUCAAUCCGUGUUCCUCCAACCCGUGCCUCUAUGGGGGCACGUGUGUUGUCGACAACGGAGGCUUUGUUUGCCAGUGUAGAGGGUUAUAUACUGGUCAGAGGUGUCAGCUUAGUCCGUACUGCAAAGAUGACCCCUGUAAGAAUGGCGGAACAUGCUUUGACAGUUUGGAUGGUGCCGUUUGUCAGUGUGAUUCAGGUUUUAGGGGAGAAAGGUGUCAGAGUGACAUUGACGAGUGCGCUGGAAACCCCUGCCGACACGGGGCCCUCUGCGAGAACACACACGGCUCCUAUCACUGCAACUGCAGCCACGAGUACAGAGGACGCCACUGCGAGGACGCUGCACCCAACCAGUACGUGUCCACGCCGUGGAACAUUGGGCUGGCGGAAGGAAUCGGAAUCAUUGUGUUUAUAGCAGGGAUAUUUUUACUGGUGGUGGUGUUUGUUCUCUGCCGUAAGAUGAUGAGUCGGAAAAAGAAGCAUCAGGCUGAGCCUGAAGACAAGCACCUGGGACCCACUACGGCUUUCUUGCAGAGACCGUAUUUUGAUUCCAAGCUAAAUAAGAACAUUUACUCAGACGUACCACCCCAGGUGCCUGUCCGGCCUAUUUCCUACACCCCGAGUAUUCCAAGUGACUCCAGAAACAAUCUCGACCGAAAUUCCUUUGAAGGAUCUGCCAUCCCAGAGCAUCCCGAAUUCAGCACUUUCAACCCCGAGUCUGUGCACGGGCACCGAAAAGCAGUGGCGGUCUGCAGUGUGGCGCCAAACCUGCCUCCCCCACCGCCUUCGAACUCCCCUUCUGACAGCGACUCCAUACAGAAGCCCAGCUGGGACUUCGACUAUGACACUAAAGUGGUGGAUCUCGAUCCCUGUCUUUCCAAGAAGCCUCUAGAGGAAAAGCCUUCCCAGCCGUACAGUGCCCGGGAAAGCCUGUCUGAAGUGCAGUCCCUGAGCUCCUUCCAGUCCGAGUCGUGCGAUGACAAUGCUCCCGUGUGGAUCAGAGCGUACUGACAGAGCACAGUUUAGGAGAUUGCUACUUCCCUAGUGACUGUAAUGCACCUUGUCAAUGCUGUGGUUGACACGAAUCUUUGGCUGCUCCUGACCUCAGCAAACCAAGAGGGUAUCACUGGGAUACAUCAGAUUGGAUGCCAAGCGUUCCUCUGCCGGACAUACAGGAGUUCCCCAACUAUGAGGUGAUUGAUGAGCAGACACCCCUGUACUCGGGAGAUCCGAACGCCAUCGAUACGGACUAUUACCCUGGGGGCUACGACAUCGAAAGUGAUUUUCCUCCACCCCCCGAAGACUUCCCCGCCGCCGACGAGCUGCCACCGUUACCGCCCGAAUUCGGCGAUCAGUUUGAGUCCAUCCACCCUCCUAGAGACAUGCCUGCCGCGGGUAGCUUGGGUUCUUCAUCAAGAAACCGGCAGAGGUUCACCUUGAAUCAGUAUUUGCCCAAUUUUUAUCCCCUCGAUAUGUCUGAACCUCAAACAAAAGGCACUGGUGAGAAUAGUACUUGUAGAGAAUCCCAUGCCCCUUACCCGCCAGGGUAUCAAAGACACUUGGAGGUGCCCACUGUCGAGAGCGUGCCCAUGUCCGUGUACGCCUCCACGGCCUCCUGCUCCGACGUGUCAGCCUGCUGCGAAGUGGAGUCCGAGGUGAUGAUGAGUGACUAUGAGAGCGGGGACGACGGCCACUUUGAAGAGGUGACGAUCCCGCCUCUGGAUUCCCAGCAGCACACGGAAGUCUGACUCUCAACUCCCCCCGAAGUGCCUGAUUUUAGUGAACCUAGAGAUGAUAGGAGCAUCCGCCUUGCUCCUGCAGCAGUGCUCCCAGGCUUUUUUCGGUGAGCUGAAUGGCCAUGGCUGCGCUGGGUCCCGCGCCUCUGGACGUGCUGGCCAUUUCCAGUGUCCCGACUACUGUCAUCGUGAGGUUUCCAUCGGCUGUGCCAUUUCCCAACAUCUUUUGGGAUUUACAUCUGUCUGUGUUAAAAUAGUGAAACGAAAAUGAGUCCUGUCCUCUGUCGUCAGCAUGAUUCAUGUAUUUAUAUAGAUUUGAUUAUUUUAAUUUUCCUGUCUCUCUUUUUUUGUAAAUUUUAUGUACAGAUUUGAUUUUUCAUAGUUUUAACUAGAUUUCCAAGAUAUUUUGUGCAUUUGUUUCAACUGAAUUUUGGUGGUGUUAGUGCCAUUAUCUAGCACCCUGAUUUUUUUUUUUUUUUUUUACUAUAACCAGGGUUUCACUCUGUCUUUUCCCUUUUCCCACUGAAGUAUGACAUUUUGUUGGUCCAUUUCAGUGCAUUUCUAGCUGUACAUAGGAUGAGGGAGUGAUAUGAUACAUGAACAUGUCUUACAUGGGUUGCUGUAUUUAGAAUUAUAAACAUUUUUCAUUAUUGGAAAGUGUAACGGGGACCUUCUGCAUACCUGUUUAGAGCCAAAUCCACCAUGACACAGUUUUUAUAGUGUCUGUAUAUUUGUGAUGCAAUGGUCUUGUAAAGGUUUUUAAUGAAAACUACCAUUAGCCAGUCUUUCUUACUGACAAUAAAUUAUUAAUAAAAUCCA